This 301-nucleotide ribosomal RNA is filed under the name uncultured bacterium. RNAcentral's name for it is "partial 16S ribosomal RNA". It matches the Rfam family "Bacterial small subunit ribosomal RNA", at positions 509 to 809 of the family's 1533-position model. The record is from RNAcentral.
CAGUAGCCACGGGAAUACGUAUGUCACAAGCGUUAUCCGGAUUUAUUGGGCGUAAAGCGCGUCUAGGUGGUUAUGUAAGUCUGAUGUGAAAUGCAGGGCUCAACUCUGUAUUGCGUUGGAAACUGUGUAACUAGAGUACUGGAGAGGUAAGCGGAACUACAAGUGUAGAGGUGAAAUUCGUAGAUAUUUGUAGGAAUGCCGAUGGGGAAGCCAGCUUACUGGACAGAUACUGACGCUAAAGCGCGAAAGCGUGGGUAGCAAACAGGAUUAGAUACCCCGGUAGUCCCUGUCUCUUAUACAC